UGCCAGCCGCCGCGGUAAUACGGAGGGGGUUAGCGUUGUUCGGAAUUACUGGGCGUAAAGCGCACGUAGGCGGACUGGAAAGUUGGGGGUGAAAUCCCAGGGCUCAACCCUGGAACUGCCUCCAAAACUAUCAGUCUAGGAACCGGGAGGCGUGAAGGGUAUUCUCGAGGGACCGGUAAAAUGGGAUAAUCUCGAGAGGACCACCUGUGGCGAAGGCGCUUCACGAGAACGGGUUCGACGGUGAGGAACGAAAGCUAGGGGAGCAAACCGGAUUAGAUA
This 279-nucleotide ribosomal RNA is filed under the name uncultured bacterium. Its description in RNAcentral is "partial 16S ribosomal RNA". It matches the Rfam family "Bacterial small subunit ribosomal RNA", at positions 506 to 784 of the family's 1533-position model. The record is from RNAcentral.